Molecule: long non-coding RNA, 1397 nt
Organism: Macrobrachium nipponense
Lineage: Eukaryota; Metazoa; Arthropoda; Malacostraca; Decapoda; Palaemonidae
Exons: 4
Source: RefSeq, a predicted model, not a curated record
AUAGUUUGACUGCAUUGUUUUAUAUGCAUAUAUAUUCUAUGGUAAAGAUAUUUUUCUAUGUGCGUCUUUUGGCAAUGGAAGGAUUUUCUGACGAUUGUUACUAAACAGCUACUGGAUGGUAGUAACUCAAGGGUGGGAUCUAUCAACAGAUAUGAUUUCAUUAUAGUCAUAUAUGGAUGAACGCUCUUUGGCUCCACGAACGAGGUGUAAUUGUGAUGUCAUUAGGAAGACUUAAAGUAAUCUUGACUUCAUUACGGGUAAUAGCAGUAGUAGUAUAGCUCUUGUCAGAUACACAAAAUUGCUGUUGAGUAAAAUGAAUUAGUUUAAUCCUAUACUGAUUUUGUGAAAAUGUUGUUUUAAGGUUACCUUAAUCCUAAAAUGAAAACCAGAAUUUAAAUUUUCCCAAGACAAUUUUGUAUUUGUAGAUUAUAACUGGAAUUGAAGUCUUUGCAUCAUAAAUUUGUAUCUAGGAUGGUGUAAAAUGGGCCAAAACAUUCAAACAAGAAGAGAUCGUGGAAGUAAAGUUUGAGAUUGUGAAAGUAAUUCAGAUUAUAUUUUCCUCCAUAUGAAAUUCGUCAAACUCUACACAAAUGGCAUGGAGACUGAAUGAAUUUGACGGGCCUAGCUCGUGGUAGGGGACCGGGGUUCAAGGCAGUCUCAUAGUAAAAAUGGCUCAUGGGGAUGACAGAUUCAAUUCAGCGUAAGAUCUUGGUCGCUGGUCGUGACGCCCAUGUAACGUCUCUCAGGAGUACCGGAAGUCACCUUGUUCUCAAUAAAGGAUGAAGUACAAUGGGCGAGAGAGAUUUCGUUCAACAAAAGCUUGUGGAAGCCACCAGGAUUGUGCAAGCUCAUCCAAUGAUUUUUUCUCCACCGGAUGAAACAUGUCAAAAAUUCCACAAAGGCGGCAUGAUGCAGACAACCUCAAGACGGAAUUUAAGCGUGAAAUUGCACAGAAGGCCCCUUCGAAAAGGAGUUUAGUAAAGUUUAGAGGUGCAAGCUGAUAAUGUUAAAACGCUCCUUCAGUCUGAUGAAAACCAGCAAGUCUGAACGGCAGGGAGAAAUUUCCAGUACAAAUAUAUUUAUUGGUAGCUCUACAACUGGAGGGUAUGGAAGCGGGAAGACCUGAAAAUGAUGUUGAAUGAACGGAGAUAUAAAAAAACAGGUAAAAUGGAAGAAGAAACGUGAAUACAGGAGCCUUAGGAAAUUUCGUAAAGGUGGUCGACGUGGAGGAAGAAAAAUAGGAAAUAAAGGCACUAAUGUGUGAAAGGGAAACGAGGUGGUCCCCGAAGAAGUUUGAGAGAAUGGUUAAAGUCACCGUUGAGGGAAAUAAUGUAGAAGAAUAAGAAUCUGAUUAAGUCAUCGUUGAGGAGAAAUAAUUUGUCACUGUAAAAGAGAUC